This 613-nucleotide ribosomal RNA is filed under the name uncultured bacterium. RNAcentral's name for it is "bacterial SSU rRNA". It matches the Rfam family "Bacterial small subunit ribosomal RNA", at positions 28 to 613 of the family's 1533-position model. The record is from RNAcentral.
GAGGAACUCUGGCGGCGCGCUUAACACGUGCAAGUCGAACGACACCACACGACAGACUUGCUUCAUAGUAAUUCGGGUGACUAACGGGUGAAUAACCUGCCCCCUCCCUGCCCAUCGCAGGGCGACAGGAGGGGGAAUCGGCUAUUCCCCCGGACUACGUUCUUUCCCCCGCAUGACGGGAAGAAGAGAGGGAAGCCUUCCGCCUUUCGCUGGAGGAGGGGCUUGCUUCUGAUUAGCUGGUUGGAGGGGUAACGGCUCACCAGAGAGACGAUCAGUACCCGGUCUGAGAAGAUGAACGGCCACAUUGGGACUGAGACACGGCCCAGACUCCUACGGGAGGGAGCGGUGGGGAAUCUUCCGCAAUGGACGAGAGUCUGACGGAGCAUCGCCGCGUGAACGAUGACGGCCUUCGGGUUGUAAAGUUCUGUUAUAUGGGACGAACAGGGCAUCGGUUAAUACCCGGUGUCUUUGACGGUACCGUAAGAGAAAGCCACGGCUAACUACGUGCCAGCAGCCGCGGUAAUACGUAGGUGGCAAGCGUUGUCCGGAAUUAUUGGGCGUAAAGGGCGCGCAUACGCCAUCGCACAUCCCUGGUAUAAAAGCGGGGGUUUCC